Molecule: ribosomal RNA, 206 nt
Filed under: uncultured bacterium
Lineage: Bacteria
Description: partial 16S ribosomal RNA
Rfam family: Bacterial small subunit ribosomal RNA
Source: RNAcentral
UAAUACGGAGGGUGCGAGCGUUGUCCGGAAUCACUGGGCGUAAAGGGCGCGUAGGCGGCCUGAUAAGUAGGGGGUGAAAUCCUGCGGCUUAACCGCAGGGCUGCCUUCUAAACUGUCAGGCUCGAGCACAGUAGAGGCAGGUGGAAUUCCCGGUGUAGCGGUGGAAUGCGUAGAGAUCGGGAAGAACAUCAGUGGCGAAGGCGGCC